This 65-nucleotide transfer RNA is filed under the name Anthaxia sp. ANT01. RNAcentral's name for it is "tRNA-Phe". Lineage: Eukaryota; Metazoa; Arthropoda; Insecta; Coleoptera; Buprestidae. The record is from RNAcentral.
GCUUAAAUAGCUUAUAAUAGAGUUUAAUAUUGAAGAUAUUAAGGAGGAUAGUUUACCUUUAAGUA